RNAcentral lists this ribosomal RNA (802 nucleotides) under uncultured bacterium. RNAcentral describes it as "bacterial SSU rRNA". It matches the Rfam family "Bacterial small subunit ribosomal RNA", at positions 59 to 828 of the family's 1533-position model. The record is from RNAcentral.
CAGUCGAACGAAACUUCUUUAUCACCGAGUGCUUGCACUCACCGAUAAAGAGUUGAUUGGCGAACGGGUGAGUAACACGUAGGCAACCUGCCCAAAAGAGGGGGAUAACACUUGGAAACAGGUGCUAAUACCGCAUAACCAUAGUUACCGCAUGGUAACUAUGUAAAAGGUGGCUAUGCUACCGCUUUUGGAUGGGCCCGCGGCGCAUUAGCUAGUUGGUGGGGUAAAGGCUUACCAAGGCAAUGAUGCGUAGCCGAACUGAGAGGUUGAUCGGCCACAUUGGGACUGAGACACGGCCCAAACUCCUACGGGAGGCAGCAGUAGGGAAUCUUCCACAAUGGGCGAAAGCCUGAUGGAGCAACGCCGCGUGGGUGAAGAAGGUCUUCGGAUCGUAAAACCCUGUUGUUAGAGAAGAAAGUGCGUGAGAGUAACUGUUCACGUUUCGACGGUAUCUAACCAGAAAGCCACGGCUAACUACGUGCCAGCAGCCGCGGUAAUACGUAGGUGGCAAGCGUUAUCCGGAUUUAUUGGGCGUAAAGGGAACGCAGGCGGUCUUUUAAGUCUGAUGUGAAAGCCUUCGGCUUAACCGGAGUAGUGCAUUGGAAACUGGGAGACUUGAGUGCAGAAGAGGAGAGUGGAACUCCAUGUGUAGCGGUGAAAUGCGUAGAUAUAUGGAAGAACACCAGUGGCGAAAGCGGCUCUCUGGUCUGUAACUGACGCUGAGGUUCGAAAGCGUGGGUAGCAAACAGGAUUAGAUACCCUGGUAGUCCACGCCGUAAACGAUGAAUGCUAAGUGUUGGAG